Molecule: ribosomal RNA, 409 nt
Filed under: Actinomycetes bacterium
Lineage: Bacteria; Bacillati; Actinomycetota; Actinomycetes
Description: Actinobacteria bacterium partial 16S ribosomal RNA
Rfam family: Bacterial small subunit ribosomal RNA
Source: RNAcentral
UGGGGAAUAUUGCACAAUGGGCGAAAGCCUGAUGCAGCGACGCCGCGUGGGGGAUGACGGCCUUCGGGUUGUAAACCUCUUUCAGCAAGGAAGAAGCGAAAGUGACGGUACUUGCAGAAGAAGCGCCGGCUAACUACGUGCCAGCAGCCGCGGUAAUACGUAGGGCGCAAGCGUUGUCCGGAAUUAUUGGGCGUAAAGGGCUUGUAGGUGGCUUGUCGCGUCUGCCGUGAAAACUCGAGGCUUAACCUUGGGCGUGCGGUGGGUACGGGCAGGCUAGAGUGCGGUAGGGGAGACUGGAAUUCCUGGUGUAGCGGUGAAAUGCGCGGAUAUCAGGAGGAACACCGAUGGCGAAGGCAGGUCUCUGGGCCGUUACUGACACUGAGAAGCGAAAGCAUGGGGAGCGAACAGG